Molecule: ribosomal RNA, 726 nt
Filed under: Tilletia olida
Lineage: Eukaryota; Fungi; Basidiomycota; Exobasidiomycetes; Tilletiales; Tilletiaceae
Description: eukaryotic LSU rRNA
Rfam family: 5.8S ribosomal RNA (bases 284-437)
Source: RNAcentral
CAUUUAGAGGAAGUAAAAGUCAUAACAAGGUUUCUGUAGGUGAACCUGCAGAAGGAUCAUUAGUGAAUCUUUAUUGCCGUACUUCUCUUUGAGAGGUCGGCUCUAAUCCCAUCAUCUAUUAUCCAAACACAAGACUACGGAGGGUUGGCUGCGUUGGUGGCCUCCUGCUCCGGAUUGGUUCUGGGUCAGAUCAUUAACACUGGCUGGCCUGGUUCCUACAACCUUUUCAACUCAUGAAUCAUAGAAUGUUAAACCCAUUGUCUUCGGACAUGAAACUAAAUACAACUUUUGACAACGGAUCUCUUGGUUCUCCCAUCGAUGAAGAACGCAGCGAAAUGCGAUAAGUAAUGUGAAUUGCAGAAUUCAGUGAAUCAUCGAAUCUUUGAACGCACCUUGCGCCCUUGGGUAUUCUCAAGGGCAUGCCUGUUUGAGUGUCAUAACAUGUUCAGCUCUCAGCCUUUUUGAAAGAGAAGGUUGCUUGGAGUUGGUGAUGGACGUUUUUUGCCAGACCUUACCGUCUUGCUCGUCUUAAAUCGAUCAGUGGAAUCAUCUUUUGAGUCCGGUCUGACUAUGUGUGAUAAUUUGAUCACAUAGAAUGUGGGCUUGCCUACAACCGCAUCUUGAAGGACUCUGCUUCCAACACGGAAUGGUCUUCGACCAUCGUUAGCCUUUUAAUGCUUGACCUCAAAUCAGUAGGACUACCCGCUGAACUUAAGCAUAUCAAUA